UACGUAGGGGGCAAGCGUUGUCCGGAAUCAUUGGGCGUAAAGCGCGUGUAGGCGGCCAGGUAAGUCCGUUCUGAAAGCCCGGGGCUCAACCCCGGGAGGCGGAUGGAUACUGCUUGGCUCGAGUCCGGAAGAGGCGAGUGGAAUUCCUGGUGUAGCGGUGAAAUGCGCAGAUAUCAGGAGGAACACCUAUGGCGAAGGCAGCUCGCUGGGACGGUACUGACGCUGAGACGCGAAAGCGUGGGGAGCGAACAGG
Molecule: ribosomal RNA, 253 nt
Filed under: uncultured bacterium
Lineage: Bacteria
Description: partial 16S ribosomal RNA
Rfam family: Bacterial small subunit ribosomal RNA
Source: RNAcentral